CAUUCCAAAUCCAACAUACAAGUAUUAUGAACAAGUACUAUUGUUCAUAAUACUUCUGUACAGAACUAGAGUCCAAGAUGGUUAAUACUGAAACCAAAUGCUUUUCAUUAUUUAAUUUUCUUUUUCUAUUUCGUUUUUAAGUCAUACCUAGACUGAUCAUGUUGUCAUCUAUCUGGAUUUAAAAUAAAUACCUGUAAUAUACUGAGAUUGAUUUGGAUGACCGUUACACAUCUAGAAGAAUAGGAUCUUGUGACUUGCUACAUGAAAUCAGGAAGCUCAAUGACGCAGAAGGCUAACAAAGUGCAAUGUCAGAAAGCAUAUAAUUUUUGUGACUUGUUUGUUCCAAACUUAUUCUGUAUCUGAACCUUGUCAGAAUCUGCUUUCAUUUCUGUACCUGACAAUAAAAAAUUUACCACGGAAACCAAAGGACUGUUUUCUUCUUGCCUAGUGGGAUGAAAUCAAGAAUACUUUCUAGUAUGGUGGUAGAUAUUGUGAAAACUGGGCUGUAGUAUAUGAAGGUCAAUAUCUCUGUUCUGAGUUCAAAUCCUGGUGGUUUUCAUAUUGUCUUUUGUCUUCGGCAGCACCAGUGUCAGAAGGGAAGUGAUUUGUUUUAUUAAAACACAGUUCUUGCUAAAAAAAAAAAAAAUUGUUAUCAAUCAUUACUUCAAGUCUGAUUUGUCUAGCAUGGGCUGAACAGAUCUGCAGUUAUAUUGCUACACCUGGAGUAAAAAGGAAUGAUUAUGUUUCCCUGGAGACUAGUUAUUAUCAUUGUAAUUGAAUGUAAAUUAGUAAAAUGCUCAGAACUCUGUCAGUGCCGUAUGUUUGUCUGUUGGCAAAAACUCAGACAUGUCAUGGUGUAUAUAUAUAUAUUGUAUGAUAUCAAAGACAUCAUAUACUGUAUCAGUGUAUAAAUGUCCAGUUGUGUCUACAUCUACUUUAUCAAUUUAUGUAGCAAUUGGUCUGAUAUUAAAAGUUAGAUCAGUUUUAUAAGACGAAUUAAUUUAUUUUUAGAAAAUGAUGAUGAUGAUGAUGUUCUAAAAAUAUCAACUUGAUCCAGAUUGUCGACAUUUUCCAAAUGCAGCAGAAUCUUCUUUUUAUUUCAGUAGAACUAAAAGAAAAGCACAAGAAAAGUCAUUUCAUGUUUACCUUGUGAACCUAACUGUGAAUUGAAGAAUGUCAUAAAAAUAACCAAACAAGUGAAAAGCUAGAAUAAGCAAAAACAAUAUCUCAGAAUUGGCACUUUGGUAAUCAAAAAGUACUAAUAAAAACAAAAAUAAUUCUAAUUAAUAUUGAAUUUUAAUUAAGUUGGUUUUUUUACAACUUCUGGUGAUGUUUUUCUUAGCAACAAAAUUAUUCAAUUUUCUAAAAGUUUGUUGCUCUACUAUUCUCUUCAAAUAUCCUUCUAUUUUUCUGUAGCCUAACAUGACUUUUUCAAUGGUUAUCUUCUUUCCUAGCUUCAGUGACCAUUUUUUUUUUAAUUAAGAAGAAAAUUGGAGAAUGUUACUAUGCUUUCAGAUACAGGAAUAUCUAAAAAAAAAACAUAAAUACCUUUGAAACUUUGUUUAUUUUUCCAUCAUGGAAGUAUCUACACUAAUUUUUGCUUUUUACCAAACAUUGCAUAAUAUAAUGUUAAAUAGCAAAUUGAUAGAAAUAAUGCAGAAGUAUAUUUAGUAGCACACCUUGAAGGUAUACCUCUGUUUCAUUUCUCUUUAACCAUUUUAUUUCCAUAUUUCUGUUGAAAUACUAUGCCUUUAUUACAAUUCAUUUUUUAAAUGCAGAAUUUUAGUAAAAUAAGCUUGCCAUUACAUUUAUGUAUUUGUUUUGCAAGAUUCCCCAUGUGGGAACAUGUUGAAACAGAUAUCGUUAUACUUGGAAAUGGUCACUUUUUGCCAAUUAAGCAUACAUACUAAUUAUUUGAUCUUCACUUUAGUUUUAUUAGGCAGGGCAAGAGGAAACGCAUGGGAUUGAGAGUCUCUGAAGAGGUCACAGAAUGUGUGACCAAAGAACAUUGACGGACAAAUAAACAAAAAAUAAAUAACACUAAUAAAAUUAAAAUUAAGAUCAAAUAAAUAGCACGUGUGUUUGAUUGGCAAAAAAUGACCAUCUUCAAGUAUAAAAAAAAAUUUGUCAUAAUUGAACUGGUAUUGAACAUAAAUUAACAUGAAACUUUUAUAGAAACAUUUAAUUUAGAUUGCUUUAAAAUAAGAAUUAACCUAGAACAAGGGGUGGCCUUAUAUUGGGCGGGUAUUAAAAGGAUUAGAAGCAUAUUUAUUAAGUAAUUUAAUCUAUCAAUCCUAUUAAUUAUCAUAAAAUAAGAGAUUAAUGAGUUAGUAAUUAUAGUAAAAUUUCCUAAAGUUUGCUCUAUAUUUUGGGUUUAAUUUCUCUGUGUUUAUUAAAAUAACUUUUAAUUACAUAAUGAGAUAAGUUUAAUUUAUUAUUGUUUCUUCUUUACAAAAACAGUUUUAUGCUUAAUUAAAAGAAAUUAUAAUUAAAGUAAGGGUAAUAUUACCUGUUAUUUCUGCUGUUUUAAUUGCAUCACUACAUUCAAAGACAAAAAUAUCACCUUGUCUGCAUCGUAUAAUUAAAGCAUUUGAUGGGAAUUACUUUUUUAAAUCUUAGUUUUGUUUAUAUUAUA
Molecule: long non-coding RNA, 2635 nt
Filed under: Octopus sinensis (East Asian common octopus)
Lineage: Eukaryota; Metazoa; Mollusca; Cephalopoda; Octopoda; Octopodidae
Description: uncharacterized LOC118765022
Source: RNAcentral